GAUGAAGAACGCAGCGAAAGGCGAUAAGUAAUGUGAAUUCCAGAAUUCAGUGAAUCAUCGAAUCUUUGAACGCACCUUGCACUCCUUGGUAUUCCGAGGAGUACGCCUGUUCGAGUGUUAUGAAACUCUCAAAACGCAAUUGGCUUAAAACCUGAUUGUUGUUUUGGAUUUGAACUUUGCCGUGUUACAACGGCUGGUUUUAAAAGCAUUAGCUGGUACUAGAACGAAUUGGUUCUACUCAACGUGAUAAUUAUCUGAUCGUUGAGGACAUUCCUUUCACGAGGAAUGGCCAUAGUAAAUUCAAUGGACUGCUUCUAACUUGGCUUUAAUUCUUAAUUGGAUUAACCACUUUUCAAAUCUGACCUCGAAUCAGGUGGGACUACCCGCUGAACUUAAGCAUAUCAAUAAGCGGAGGA
This 416-nucleotide unclassified non-coding RNA is filed under the name soil metagenome. RNAcentral describes it as "partial contains 5.8S ribosomal RNA, internal transcribed spacer 2, and large subunit ribosomal RNA". The stretch from base 1 to 120 matches the Rfam family "5.8S ribosomal RNA", at positions 35 to 154 of the family's 154-position model. The record is from RNAcentral.